UGGGGAAUCUUGCGCAAUGCGCGAAAGCGUGACGCAGCAACGCCGCGUGGGGGAAGAAGGUUUUCGGAUUGUAAACCCCUUUCAGGAAGGACGAAGGUUCGGCAGUUAAUAGCUGACCGGACUGACGGUACUUCCACAAGAAGGUCCGGCUAACUACGUGCCAGCAGCCGCGGUAAUACGUAGGGACCUAGCGUUGUCCGGAAUCAUUGGGCGUAAAGCGCGCGUAGGCGGCCCGGUAAGUCCGUUGUAAAAGUCGAAGGCUCAACCUUCGAAAGCCGAUGGAUACUGCCGGGCUAGAGUCCGGAAGAGGCGAGUAGAAUUCCUGGUGUAGCGGUGGAAUGCGCAGAUAUCAGGAGGAAUACCCAUAGCGAAGGCAGCUCGCUGGGACGGUACUGACGCUGAGGCGCGAAAGCGUGGGGAGCGAACAGG
RNAcentral lists this ribosomal RNA (429 nucleotides) under uncultured bacterium. Its description in RNAcentral is "bacterial SSU rRNA". It matches the Rfam family "Bacterial small subunit ribosomal RNA", at positions 355 to 776 of the family's 1533-position model. The record is from RNAcentral.